Molecule: unclassified non-coding RNA, 511 nt
Filed under: uncultured Glomus
Lineage: Eukaryota; Fungi; Glomeromycota; Glomeromycetes; Glomerales; Glomeraceae
Description: SSU rRNA
Rfam family: Eukaryotic small subunit ribosomal RNA
Source: RNAcentral
AGCAGCCGCGGUAAUUCCAGCUCCAAUAGCGUAUAUUAAAGUUGUUGCAGUUAAAAAGCUCGUAGUUGAAUUUCGAGAUCAAAUUGUUGGUCGUGCCUUGGUACGCACUGGCAUUAUUGGUUUCUCCCUUCUGACGAACCAUGAUGUCAUUAAUUUGGUGUCUUGGGGAAUCAGGACUGUUACUUUGAAAAAUUAGAGUGUUUAAAGCAGGCUCACGCUUGAAUACAUUAGCAUGGAAUAAUGAAAUAGGACGUUUGAUUCUAUUUUGUUGGUUUCUAGGAUCGACGUAAUGAUUAAUAGGGAUAGUUGGGGGCAUUAGUAUUCAAUUGUCAGAGGUGAAAUUCUUGGAUUUAUUGAAGACUAACUACUGCGAAAGCAUUUGCCAAGGAUGUUUUCAUUAAUCAAGAACGAAAGUUAGGGGAUCGAAGACGAUCAGAUACCGUCGUAGUCUUAACCAUAAACUAUGCCGACUAGGGAUCGGAUGAUGUUAAUUUUAUGACUCAUUCGGACG